This 468-nucleotide ribosomal RNA is filed under the name uncultured bacterium. Its description in RNAcentral is "partial 16S ribosomal RNA". It matches the Rfam family "Bacterial small subunit ribosomal RNA", at positions 28 to 507 of the family's 1533-position model. The record is from RNAcentral.
GACGAACGCUGGCGGCGUGCUUAACACAUGCAAGUCGAACGGAAAGGCCCUGCUUUUGUGGGGUGCUCGAGUGGCGAACGGGUGAGUAACACGUGAGUAACCUGCCCUUGACUUUGGGAUAACUUCAGGAAACUGGGGCUAAUACCGGAUAGGAGCUCCUGCUGCAUGGUGGGGGUUGGAAAGUUUCGGCGGUUGGGGAUGUACUCGCGGCUUAUCAGCUUGUUGGUGGGGUAGUGGCUUACCAAGGCUUUGACGGGUAGCCGGCCUGAGAGGGUGACCGGCCACAUUGGGACUGCGAUACGGCCCAGAAUCCUACGGGAGGCAGCAGUGGGGAAUAUUGCACAAUGGGCGGAAGCCUGAUGCAGAAACGCUGCGUGCGGGAUGACGGCCUUCGGGUUGUAAACCGCUUUCGCCUGUGACGAAGCGUGAGUGACGGUAAUGGGUAAAGAAGCACCGGCUAACUACGUG